UGGUGAAGAAAGGGCCGGGCAAGACCGGUGCCAGCCGCCGCGGUAAUACCAGCGUCCAGAUUGGUGGCAUCUAUUAUGGGGCUUAAAGCGUCCGUAGCUGGGUUGUUAAGUCUCCUGGGAAAUCCCCGGCUCAACCGAUGGGCUUUCAGGGGAUACUGGCAACCUAGGGACCGGGAGAGGUGAGGGGUACUUCAGGGGUAGGAGUGAAAUCCUGUAAUCCUUGAGGGACCACCAGCGGCGAAGGCGUCUCACCAGAACGGUUCUGACAGUAAGGGACGAAAGCUAGGGGCGCAAACCGGAUUAGAUACCCGGGUAGUCCCAGCCGUAAACGAUGCGCGUUAGGUGUGUCGGCCUCCUCGAGUCACCGAGGUGCCGAAGGGAAGCCGUGAAACGUGCCACCUGGGAAGUACGGUCGCAAGGCUGAAACUUAAAGGAAUUGGCGGGGGAGCACCACAACAGGUGGAGCGUGCGGUUUAAUUGGAUUCAACGCCGGGAAGCUCACCGGAUAAGACAGC
Molecule: ribosomal RNA, 515 nt
Filed under: uncultured archaeon
Lineage: Archaea
Description: bacterial SSU rRNA
Rfam family: Archaeal small subunit ribosomal RNA
Source: RNAcentral